This 332-nucleotide ribosomal RNA is filed under the name uncultured bacterium. RNAcentral describes it as "bacterial SSU rRNA". It matches the Rfam family "Bacterial small subunit ribosomal RNA", at positions 568 to 898 of the family's 1533-position model. The record is from RNAcentral.
CGCGUAGGUGGCCCGGUCAGCGUGCGGUGAAAGCUCGGGGCUCAACCCCGAGUCGGCCGUGCGAACUGCUGGGCUCGAGCACUGUAGAGGCAGGCGGAAUUCCGGGUGUAGCGGUGGAAUGCGUAGAGAUCCGGAAGAACACCGGUGGCGAAGGCGGCCUGCUGGGCAGUAGCUGACACUGAGGCGCGACAGCGUGGGGAGCAAACAGGAUUAGAUACCCUGGUAGUCCACGCCGUAAACGAUGGGCACUAGGCGCUUGGGGGAGCGACCCCCCGAGGGCCGGCGCUAACGCAUUAAGUGCCCCGCCUGGGGAGUACGGCCGCAAGGCUGAA